GCUUUUGGUUCAGUGGUAGAAUUCUCGCCUGCCACGCGGGCGCCCCGGGUUCGAUUCGCGGCCGAUGCA
This 69-nucleotide transfer RNA is filed under the name Cordylochernes scorpioides. RNAcentral describes it as "tRNA-Gly". The record is from RNAcentral. Lineage: Eukaryota; Metazoa; Arthropoda; Arachnida; Pseudoscorpiones; Chernetidae.